Molecule: transfer RNA, 60 nt
Filed under: Sundasciurus lowii (Low's squirrel)
Lineage: Eukaryota; Metazoa; Chordata; Mammalia; Rodentia; Sciuridae
Description: tRNA-His
Source: RNAcentral
CGAGAAAGUAUAGCAAGANNUGCUAANUCAUGCUCCCGUGCCUACACUCACGGCUUUCUU